AGUUAUAUGCUUGUCUCAAAGAUUAAGCCAUGCAUGUCUAAGUACACACGAAUUAACAGUGAAACCGCAAAAGGCUCAUUAUAUCAGUUAUGGUUCCUUAGAUCGUUAACAGUUACUUGGAUAACUGUGGUAAUUCUAGAGCUAAUACAUGCAAUAUAAACACGGACCUUUGGGACGUGUGCUUUUAUUAGGCUAAAACCAAGCGAUCGCAAGAUCGUUACUUUGGUUGAACUCUAGAUAACUUGCAGAUCGUAUGGUCUCGUACCGACGACAGAUCUUUCAAAUGUCUGCCCUAUCAACUUUUGAUGGUAGUAUCUAGGACUACCAUGGUUGCAACGGGUAACGGGGAAUCAGGGUUCGAUUCCGGAGAGGGAGCCUGAGAAACGGCUACCACAUCUAAGGAAGGCAGCAGGCGCGUAAAUUACCCACUCCCAGCUCGGGGAGGUAGUGACGAAAAAUAACAAUACAGGACUCAUAAAAGAGGCCCUGUAAUUGGAAUGAGUACACUUUAAAUCCCUUAACAAGGACCUAUUGGAGGGCAAGUCUGGUGCCAGCAGCCGCGGUAACUCCAGCUCCAAUAGCGUAUAUUAAAGUUGUUGCGGUUAAAACGUUCGUAGUUGAACUUGUGCUCCAUACGGGUAGUGCAGCUAAUAAUUGUAGUUUGUACUAUACCUUAUGUAUGCGAGCGUAUUACCGGUGGAGUUCUUAUAUGUAUUAAAUACUUGUAUUUUUGCAUGUUCCUCCUAUUUAAACCUGCUUCAGUGCUCUUUAUCGAGUGUUGUUGUGGGCCGGUACAAUUACUUUGAACAAAUUAGAGUGCUUAAAGCAGGCUCCAAAUGCCUGAAUAUUUUGUGCAUGGAAUAAUGAAAUAAGACCUCUGUUCUACUUUCAUUGGUUAUUAGAUCAAGAGG
RNAcentral lists this ribosomal RNA (911 nucleotides) under Muscidae sp. Musc_H7. Its description in RNAcentral is "SSU rRNA". It matches the Rfam family "Eukaryotic small subunit ribosomal RNA", at positions 21 to 864 of the family's 1831-position model. The record is from RNAcentral. Lineage: Eukaryota; Metazoa; Arthropoda; Insecta; Diptera; Muscidae.